Molecule: long non-coding RNA, 533 nt
Filed under: Astyanax mexicanus (Mexican tetra)
Lineage: Eukaryota; Metazoa; Chordata; Actinopteri; Characiformes; Acestrorhamphidae
Description: lncRNA (ENSAMXG00005012491.1)
Source: RNAcentral
GCCGAACUCAGGACCCCGCCCUCACACGUGUACAUGCUAACACAGAUCCAAACUGUUGGAGCAGUUUAGAUUAGGAAGGUAGAUAGAAAAAAGAAGUAUGAAAGCCUUCAACCCAAAAUAUAUCAGAUGAAGAAAGAAGUUAAAUCAGCCUGAACAGUGGGGAGGAUGUCAAACGCUGGAGUUACCUGUAGCCUGGAAGGUUCUGCUAUUGAGCAGACCCCCUCUGCCAGAUGUUUCCGGAGACAGGUCGAAGCCAGUGGGUUGCUCCAUGUAGAAAAAGCCCACUUGAAGCCAUCCAUUAAGCAGACAAAACUCUUCGUCCUCAGCUUUCAUCACUGAACUCCUUCACCUUUCAGCAGAUUCCCAGGAUAGAGAGCAUGCCUCUGCUCCUCACUGCCUCAUCAGAAAGAGAGAGAGAGAGAGGGUGGUGGCUGGCACUCGCCCCAGGGAGUGAUCAGCAGGCUGUUUCUAGGUCAGUACUGAUGGGGUGCAGGGAGCAGUGAAGGCCUCUCUCUCUCUCUCUUUACCCUGUU